Long non-coding RNA from Manis javanica (Malayan pangolin), 1742 nucleotides. RefSeq lists it as uncharacterized. Lineage: Eukaryota; Metazoa; Chordata; Mammalia; Pholidota; Manidae. The record is from RefSeq and is a predicted model, not a curated record.
CGCCCUUUCCGCUGUUCGCGCCCGGGCGGCGGCAGGGACGUCAGCUCGGGCACGGCCAAUGGCAAGCGCCCACGUCGGGAGAACUCCUCGUGACCGCGCGUCACCAGAGGGCCGUUUCUGUGAUUGUGAUGCCCCUAAGGGGGCCCGCUCCGAAAACCCUGGGACGCUGACACACCUGAUUUUUGGACGCCUUGAAAGGCCUCUAAACGCAGCUGACAGAGAGAAAUCUCACUCCUAACGCGCUGAGGCAGAACUGGUCGAGGGCAGUUCAUUAGUGCUUGCUGCUGCUUUGGUGUAUACCCCAGACUGGUCUGCACAGGCUGCUUUAAGGAGACCUAAACAAGGCUGCUUAUGGCCAGAGGUAUUGGCCCAAAGGGCUCUGGCUUCAUCUGGCCCCUCUCAACUGCCCGUCUCAACUGCUGGAAUCAAUUUCUCACCUACAUUCAGGACACCGGUAUGCCAAAGUCCACUGGUUGGGAUGUGCUAUCAGAAUUGUGUGACUCAUUUUAUGAAUGAGGAUAGUGUUUUUCAGAUCAAGGAGUUGAUUUUUUCCAAGAUUAAUAGCAAAUCAUGGAUAAGUCAUAACUAAAGGAAAAAAUAGAAAUUGAAUGAAAAUAUUUUGGACAGGAGGAAGGUAAUUCUUAGAAGGGAGAAAUUUUAACAUCCUGUAAGCUUUGUUAUCUGCCACCAUAUUUAGAAUAUGCCUAUAGCUUUAUUUUUCUAAAAUCUUGGUUUUUAAAAAAGGACUGUAUUAAGUAAAACACAAAACAAAACAAAAAUCUCUCCCUCUCAAAUCCUAUGACAGAUUCGACCAGAGUAAACAAUGACUUAGUGUAUACCCUUUAACAUUUCUUUUUAGGUCUAAUCAGUGCUUUAAGUAUGUAUGAAUGUGUGUGUAUGUAUGUAUAUAGCCAUAUAUGUAUGUAUAUCCAUAUCUGUUUCAUUUCCUCAAAAAUAUAUCAAACUAUCCAGAUUGAUCUGAAGCUUCCUUUUACCCCUGUUUAACAGACCAGUCAUUUAUUUAUUUAUUUUAUUUUAUCAAAUGUAUGUCACAGUAGUUAGUCCCCCUCCCUUGGUAACCACUAGUCACUUCUCAGAGUGCAUGAGUCUAAUGCUGUCUUGUUCCAUCUGUUUUGCUUUGUUUUGCAUGACCACAAAUAAAUGAAAUUAUAUGGUAUUUGUUUUUCUCCGCCUCAGACCAGUCAUUUAUUGAACAACGUGCCAGAAUAUUUAAACUGCUGGAAAUUCAUCAUAGUCACUUAUGUUACUGAACACUUACCAUGUACCUUGCACUGUUCUAAGCACCUUAAUGUUCCUGAUCUCAUUUAAUUCCCCUAACAACCUUAGCAGUAAGUCCUAUUAUUAUUGCCCUUUUUUCUAGGUAAAUAAACAGGGCUCAGGAAAUUGAGUAAAUUAAUGAGGGUCAUAGGCCUUUCAACUAAAGAGCUGAGGUAAAAUGCCAUGUUAUAGCUGUAUUUAAGCCUUAAUAUUCUUGAAAGUAACAUUUUUUAAUAAGAUUUUCUGGGGGUGGGGUAAUGGGUGAAAUGGGUGAAGGGGAUAAAGAGGUACAAACUUCAGAUUAUAAAUUAGUGAUAAGAACGGAAAUCUAAUUUAGAGAAUAUAACCAAUAAUAUAAUAUCCUGGUAUGAUAACAGGGUAACUACACCUAACAUGAUGAGCAUUUCUAAGUAUGUAAUUAUCUAGUCACCUAUGUUGUACAUAUGAAACCAAUAUAAUGUAUA